AAUAGAUACCCGGGUAGUCCACGCCGUAAACGUUGGGCGCUAGGUGUGGGUCCCAUUCCACGGGGUCCGUGCCGCAGCUAACGCAUUAAGCGCCCCGCCUGGGGAGUACGGCCGCAAGGCUAAAACUCAAAGGAAUUGACGGGGGGCCCGCACAAGCGGCGGAGCAUGCGGAUUAAUUCGAUGCAACGCGAAGAACCUUACCAAGGCUUGACAUAUACCGGAAACCCUCAGAGAUGGGGGCCCCGCAAGGUCGGUAUACAGGUGGUGCAUGGUUGUCGUCAGCUCGUGUCGUGAGAUGUUGGGUUAAGUCCCGCAACGAGCGCAACCCUCGUUCUAUGUUGCCAGCACGUGAUGGUGGGGACUCAUAGGAGACUGCCGGGGUCAACUCGGAGGAAGGUGGGGAUGACGUCAAAUCAUCAUGCCCCGUUAUGUCUUGGGCUUCACGCAUGCUACAAUGGCCGGUACAAAGGGUUGCGAUACUGUGAGGUGGAGCUAAUCCCAAAAAGCCGGUCUCAGUUCGGAUUGGGGUCUGCAACUCGACCCC
Molecule: ribosomal RNA, 544 nt
Filed under: uncultured bacterium
Lineage: Bacteria
Description: bacterial SSU rRNA
Rfam family: Bacterial small subunit ribosomal RNA
Source: RNAcentral